Molecule: ribosomal RNA, 482 nt
Filed under: uncultured bacterium
Lineage: Bacteria
Description: partial 16S ribosomal RNA
Rfam family: Bacterial small subunit ribosomal RNA
Source: RNAcentral
GAUGAACGCUGGCGGCGGGCCUAAUACAUGCAAGUCGAACGGGCUUACGAGGCUUGCUUCUGUUGAGAGUGGGCCACGGGUGCGUAACACGUAUGUAACCUACCUUUCUCUGGGGGUUGGCCUCCCUCAGGAAAGAUUAACCCCGCAUAAAAUCACAGCACAACAUUGUGUAUUGAUCAAAUAUUUAUAGGUUACAGAUGGUCAUGCGUAAGAUUAGCUAGAUGGCGGGGUAACGGCCCACCAUGGCUACGAUGUUUAGGGGAUCGGAGGGGAUGGCCCCCCACAACGGUACUGAGACACGGACCAGACUGCUACGGGAGGCAGCAGUAAGGAAUAUUGGGCAAGGGGGGGAAGCCUGACCCAGCCAUGCGGGGGGCAGGAAGACGGCGCUACGGGUUGUAAACUGCUUUUAUACGGGAAUAAACCCAGAUACGUGUAUCUGGCUGAAUGUACUGUAAGAAUAAGGAUCGGCUAACUCCGUG